This 431-nucleotide ribosomal RNA is filed under the name uncultured bacterium. Its description in RNAcentral is "partial 16S ribosomal RNA". It matches the Rfam family "Bacterial small subunit ribosomal RNA", at positions 338 to 795 of the family's 1533-position model. The record is from RNAcentral.
CCUACGGAGGCAGCAGUGGGGAAUAUUGGACAAUGGGCGCAAGCCUGAUCCAGCCAUGCCGCGUGAGUGAAGAAGGCCCUAGGGUUGUAAAGCUCUUUCAGCGGGGAAGCGGUACCCGCAGAAGAAGCCCCGGCUAACUUCGUGCCAGCAGCCGCGGUAAUACGAAGGGGGCUAGCGUUGUUCGGAUUUACUGGGCGUAAAGCGCGCGUAGGCGGAUUGUUAAGUCAGGGGUGAAAUGCCGAGGCUCAACCUCGGAACUGCCUUUGAUACUGGCAAUCUGGAGUUCGGGAGAGGUGAGUGGAAUUCCGAGUGUAGAGGUGAAAUUCGUAGAUAUUCGGAGGAACACCAGAAGCGAAGGCGGCUCACUGGCCCGAACUGACGCUGAGGCGCGAAAGCGUGGGGAGCAAACAGGAUUAGAUACCCUUGUAGUC